Long non-coding RNA from Malus domestica (apple), 2094 nucleotides. RefSeq lists it as uncharacterized. Lineage: Eukaryota; Viridiplantae; Streptophyta; Magnoliopsida; Rosales; Rosaceae. The record is from RefSeq and is a predicted model, not a curated record.
AUCACAUCACCCGUUUUAAUCACAUCCCAUGGUUCUCUUCGUACUCUCUCAAACUCUCUUCCCUCAUCUUCACAGUUCAUAGACGAGCUGCAAAAAUUCCCUCAUCUUCACAGAUCGUCUCUGCGAAUUUCUACAACUUCACAGAUCUUCACAGACGAGCUGCAGAUUGUCUCUGCAAAAAUUCCCUCUUCUUCACUGUGACGACCCGUCUCUAAUAUUCCUAUGUAAUUUCUCCCCGAGUAUGUGUAUUGACGAUUAUACCCUUAUUGGCAAAAGACGUGGACUUAUUCUUAUCGCUUUCCUUUUUAUUUCUCGCUAUCGCAUUUAAAUUGUACACGCUAGUACGAGUAGACGUAGAUUUUAAAGUGUAAAAAUAUCUACUUCGAAUAGAUUUCGAUUUCCUUUUACUGUAGGAAAUCUAAAAACCUAUCAAUUGGAUUCCUUUUUAUCCCAUCCUGUGCACCCCUCUUCAUUAUUUCACACUCACCUAUCCCAUCUCUUCUUUAUUUUUGUCCCCCUCUAUCAGAAAAGGUUCUCUCUCUCUUCUCUCUCUUUCUCUCCCGUAUUCUCUCUUCCUCUGCAACGCCAUGAACGAACAUCAAAGCUCAUAGAUUGAGCUUGAAACCAAUCCCAUUUUACUCCUCUCAUCCUCACGAACACAACCAUACCAACCAAACCAAGAAUGGAUGAGUUUUGACUCGCCAACUCGGAAGGUCCGAACUCGGACGAGUUGAGUUCGACAUGUUUUCAACCGAGUCACAAUGUUUUAGGACUUGGGAAAACCUCUACGCAGCUCCCUAGUGUCUCUAGUCAAGGUUUGAGGAAGCUUUGACGUGAAACAACUCGAUUUUGAGAAGUUCAAGUCUGACCCGUGCCUUUCGAGCCAAUUUUCGGCCAAACUAUGGCGAGUUGGCCUGCAUGCAAGUUUCCGGCGAGUCCGACGGCUUUCGAGGCGUUUUCCGGACAAACCACAGAGAGUUAGACGUCAUGUAAGGUUUAGUAGCGGUGUUUUACACGUAUACGAGGAUUCUGGCAAAUCUCAGGAGAUGGUUACCUUCAGUGGUGUAACCCUCAACCUAUUUACUAUAAUGUCUUCUGCUCUGACAUCACGUGUGAAUAGGGUUCAAACCCGCUCACCUGCACACUCUCUUGAUUAGGCACUUUAGGUUUAAAUUUACCCCUACCUUCCACAUCACUACACUUUAUGGCUUCGUCACCCUUCAGGUGUCGGCCAGCACAACUCGAUUUGGAAUCCAAGUGGACAUUCCGGGUCGGGAUGUGUUAUUCAUAGAUCAUCUUCACAGAUCUACAACUUCCGAUCUCGUACGAAAUUCUGCAGCUCGUCUCUGCGAAUUUCUGCAGCCCAUUGCAAAAAUUGCAGCAAGUUUUAGAACACUGGACUUUUCAUUUCCGACGACGGAGGCGCAAAUCUUGGGUCUGAGCCUGGAUUGCAGAGAGAGAUCUGGGCAGCUGCGACGACGUAGCCUCGGCUGCCUUUCCGACGACGGAGCCAUGACGAUUGUUUCGAUAAUAUCGAAUAUAUCGCGAUACUAUUGAUAAUAUCGAUAAUAUCGCGAUAUUUUGACGAUAAUUAAGGGGAUACGUGUGAAAAUAUCGGUUUCUCUGAAAAACGAUAAUAUCGACGAUAUUUCGUCGAUAUUAUCGAUAUUUAAUACCUUGGUUAGAUCCGACAACAGUGUUUUGUUUUCCGACACUAUUUUAAAUUUUGUCGGAAAUAUUUUAUCUAACACUAAUCAUAUAAAACCACCACCACCCUCCGACACAUUAAGCCAAUUUUGUGGUAGUGUUUGAUUGUGAAUGAUUUUGAGCUUUUUUUGUGUCCCUCACAUCACAUAUUCAUUCGAGUUUAAAUCUUCUGCACUCGUUUUAUGUGUGGCCUCUCUAUGGAUUCUAAUGUUAAUUUACAUGUGUUAUGUUUAUUGAUGUAGGACAAGAUUGAUUGACGCAACACAAAGCUAGUAAGGAUUACAAGUGUAAAUCCUUGAAGAAUAAAUUCUAGAGUCCACCGGUUUGAUAGAAAUCUCAAAGAAUAAUUUAAUUCAUUGAUUGAAAGAUAUUGAAUAAAGUUGAAAC